UACGAAGGGGGCUAGCGUUGCUCGGAAUUACUGGGCGUAAAGCGCACGUAGGCGGUUUCUUAAGUCGGGGGUGAAAUCCUGGAGCUCAACUCCAGAACUGCCUUCGAUACUGGGGAACUUGAGUCCGGGAGAGGUGAGUGGAACUGCGAGUGUAGAGGUGAAAUUCGUAGAUAUUCGCAAGAACACCAGUGGCGAAGGCGGCUCACUGGCCCGGUACUGACGCUGAGGUGCGAAAGCGUGGGGAGCAAACAGG
Molecule: ribosomal RNA, 253 nt
Filed under: uncultured bacterium
Lineage: Bacteria
Description: partial 16S ribosomal RNA
Rfam family: Bacterial small subunit ribosomal RNA
Source: RNAcentral